RNAcentral lists this small RNA (189 nucleotides) under uncultured Pseudomonas sp. RNAcentral's name for it is "PhrS". It matches the Rfam family "PhrS". Lineage: Bacteria; Pseudomonadati; Pseudomonadota; Gammaproteobacteria; Pseudomonadales; Pseudomonadaceae. The record is from RNAcentral.
CCGCAGGAGGACUGGAUAUGUUCGUCGAUGAGGUGGUGCUCGCAGGGGUGGUCACGGUCGGCUUGAUGUUCGCCUUCUUCGGUGGCGUCGGUUAUUUCAUCUGGCAGGACUCGAGCAAGAAGCAAGGUUGAUCCUGUCCGAUACACAGGGCACGCAAGGCAUUUAGGCGACUUCGGUCGCCUUUUUUUU